UACGUAGGGUGCGAGCGUUAAUCGGAAUUACUGGGCGUAAAGCGUGCGUAGACGGUUAUGUAAGUCGGGUGUGAAAGCCCCGGGCUCAACCUGGGAAUUGCAUUCGAGACUGCAUAGCUAGGGUGCGGAAGAGGGAAGCGGAAUUUCCGGUGUAGCGGUGAAAUGCGUAGAUAUCGGGAGGAACACCUGUGGCGAAAGCGGCGCACUGGACCACUUCUGACGCUGAGGCGCGAAAGCUAGGGGAGCAAACAGG
RNAcentral lists this ribosomal RNA (253 nucleotides) under uncultured bacterium. RNAcentral describes it as "partial 16S ribosomal RNA". It matches the Rfam family "Bacterial small subunit ribosomal RNA", at positions 524 to 776 of the family's 1533-position model. The record is from RNAcentral.